CUUUGAUUCUGGCUCAGGAUGAACGCUAGCUACAGGCUUAACACAUGCAAGUCGAGGGGAAACGACAUCGAAAGCUUGCUUUUGAUGGGCGUCGACCGGCGCACGGGUGAGUAACGCGUAUCCAACCUGCCCACCACUUGGGGAUAACCUUGCGAAAGUAAGACUAAUACCCAAUGAUAUCCCACGAAGGCAUCCGAAUGGGAUUAAAGAUUUAUCGGUGAUGGAUGGGGAUGCGUCUGAUUAGCUUGUUGGCGGGGUAACGGCCCACCAAGGCUACGAUCAGUAGGGGUUCUGAGAGGAAGGUCCCCCACAUUGGAACUGAGACACGGUCCAAACUCCUACGGGAGGCAGCAGUGAGGAAUAUUGGUCAAUGGGCGAGAGCCUGAACCAGCCAAGUAGCGUGCAGGAUGACGGCCCUACGGGUUGUAAACUGCUUUUAUGCGGGGAUAAAGUCGAUCACGUGUGAUUGUUUGCAGGUACCGCAUGAAUAAGGACCGGCUAAUUCCGUGCCAGCAGCCGCGGUAAUACGGAAGGUCCGGGCGUUAUCCGGAUUUAUUGGGUUUAAAGGGAGCGUAGGCCGCCGAUUAAGCGUGUUGUGAAAUGCCGUGGCUCAACCAUGGCACUGCAGCGCGAACUGGUUGGCUUGAGUGCGCGGAAGGCAGGCGGAAUUCGUGGUGUAGCGGUGAAAUGCUUAGAUAUCACGAAGAACCCCGAUUGCGAAGGCAGCUUGCCGCAGCGCUACUGACGCUGAAGCUCGAAGGUGCGGGUAUCGAACAGGAUUAGAUACCCUGGUAGUCCGCACGGUAAACGAUGGAUGCCCGCUGUGUGCCAUUAUGGUACGCGGCCAAGCGAAAGCGUUAAGCAUCCCACCUGGGGAGUACGCCGGCAACGGUGCAACUCAAAUGAAUUGACGGA
RNAcentral lists this ribosomal RNA (915 nucleotides) under uncultured Bacteroidota bacterium. Its description in RNAcentral is "bacterial SSU rRNA". It matches the Rfam family "Bacterial small subunit ribosomal RNA", at positions 11 to 917 of the family's 1533-position model. Lineage: Bacteria; Pseudomonadati; Bacteroidota. The record is from RNAcentral.